GUUGACCUCGGAUCAGGUAGGGAUACCCGCUGAACUUAAGCAUAUCAAUAAGCGAGAGAGGGG
This 63-nucleotide ribosomal RNA is filed under the name Pseudocercospora eumusae. Its description in RNAcentral is "partial 28S ribosomal RNA". The record is from RNAcentral. Lineage: Eukaryota; Fungi; Ascomycota; Dothideomycetes; Mycosphaerellales; Mycosphaerellaceae.